RNAcentral lists this ribosomal RNA (491 nucleotides) under uncultured bacterium. Its description in RNAcentral is "partial 16S ribosomal RNA". It matches the Rfam family "Bacterial small subunit ribosomal RNA", at positions 28 to 507 of the family's 1533-position model. The record is from RNAcentral.
GAUGAACGCUAGCUACAGGCUUAACACAUGCAAGUCGCGGGGCAGCAUGGGGGUUGCUUGCCACCCCUGAUGGCGACCGGCGCACGGGUGAGUAACGCGUAUCCAACCUGCCCUUCACCACGGGAUAACCCGGCGAAAGUCGGACUAAUACCGUAUGUUGUCCAUUGACGGCAUCCGAUUUGGACGAAAGGCUUGGCGGUGAAGGGAUGGGGAUGCGUCCGAUUAGCUUGACGGCGGGGUAACGGCCCACCGUGGCUACGAUCGGUAGGGGUUCUGAGAGGAAGGUCCCCCACACUGGAACUGAGACACGGUCCAGACUCCUACGGGAGGCAGCAGUGAGGAAUAUUGGUCAAUGGGCGUAAGCCUGAACCAGCCAAGUAGCGUGCAGGAUGACGGCCCUAUGGGUUGUAAACUGCUUUUAUGCGGGGAUAAAGUGGCCCACGUGUGGGCUUUUGCAGGUACCGCAUGAAUAAGGACCGGCUAAUUCCGUG